RNAcentral lists this ribosomal RNA (237 nucleotides) under uncultured Lactobacillus sp. Its description in RNAcentral is "partial 16S ribosomal RNA". It matches the Rfam family "Bacterial small subunit ribosomal RNA", at positions 125 to 356 of the family's 1533-position model. The record is from RNAcentral. Lineage: Bacteria; Bacillati; Bacillota; Bacilli; Lactobacillales; Lactobacillaceae.
CCUGCCCAAGAGAUCGGGAUAACACCUGGAAACAGAUGCUAAUACCGGAUAACAACAGAUGAUGCCUAUCAACUGUUUAAAAGAUGGUUCUGCUAUCACUCUUGGAUGGACCUGCGGUGCAUUAGCUAGUUGGUAGGGUAACGGCCUGCCAAGGCGAUGAUGCAUAGCCGAGUUGAGAGACUGAUCGGCCACAUUGGGACUGAGACACGGCCCAAACUCCUACGGGAGGCAGCAGCG